RNAcentral lists this long non-coding RNA (270 nucleotides) under Nicotiana benthamiana. RNAcentral describes it as "long non-coding RNA (NBEN_LNC001526)". Lineage: Eukaryota; Viridiplantae; Streptophyta; Magnoliopsida; Solanales; Solanaceae. The record is from RNAcentral.
AAAAAUUAUAUACUUGUUUCUUUUUUGCUUGUGUGUGUGAUUCUAAAUCCACUGACUAUAAAUUCUGUAUUCGCCCGGUGGUUGCAGGUGGAAUCAGCUCAGUAUAGGUUGAAAAAGUGGGAUGACAAGAAAGAAUCAAUUCUAGAGGAAUAAAAGAAACUGGACAAAGAGGAGAUUCAUACCAAAGGGUUGUUAAUGUCUCUCACAAAUGAGGUUUUAGAAAGCUUAAUGAUUCAAGAAUAAUACCACUUUUGGAAUGAAAAUGACCAA